Molecule: long non-coding RNA, 357 nt
Organism: Hyaena hyaena (striped hyena)
Lineage: Eukaryota; Metazoa; Chordata; Mammalia; Carnivora; Hyaenidae
Exons: 3
Source: RefSeq, a predicted model, not a curated record
CUGAGGCUUAACUUCCUACAGCUUUGAAGUGGGGAAGCGCUGGCCGGCUUGAAGCCCUUGCCGCCUCCCAGGCUCAGAGCCUUUGGAGGAUGACCAGAGGAAGAGGCCAACUGGAGAAACAGCUGGAAAGCUUGGGUCUUGGAGUGUGACUGUGUGGCGGGCUGUCCCUGCAGUCUCCGUGUGGCCUCCUCCAGGACUGGCUGCAAGCAGCGGCUGGGGAAGGAACAAGUGAAGACAUCAAAAUGGGAGAGAAGAAAAAAAAAUAGGACAAAAGCAAUAUUUGAAGACGUCAUGACUGAGGAUUUUCCAAAUAUGAAGAAAGACAUCAAGCCACAGAUUCAAGAAUAUCAAUGAGCU